RNAcentral lists this ribosomal RNA (718 nucleotides) under uncultured fungus. RNAcentral's name for it is "SSU rRNA". It matches the Rfam family "Eukaryotic small subunit ribosomal RNA", at positions 334 to 1056 of the family's 1831-position model. The record is from RNAcentral. Lineage: Eukaryota; Fungi.
UAGAGGCCUACCAUGGUGGUAACGGGUAACGGGGUGUUAGGGCACGACACCGGAGAGGGAGCCUGAGAAACGGCUACCACAUCCAAGGAUGGCAGCAGGCGCGCAAAUUACCCAAUCCCGACACGGGGAGGUAGUGACAAUAAAUAACAAUACGGGGUUCUUUCGGAUCUCGUAAUUGGAAUGAGUACAAUUUAAAUCUCUUAACGAGGAACAAUUGGAGGGCAAGUCUGGUGCCAGCAGCCGCGGUAAUUCCAGCUCCAAUAGCGUAUAUUAAAGUUGUUGCAGUUAAAAAACUCGUAGUUGAAUUUCGGGGUUAGUAGGUUGGUCAUGCCUCUGGUAUGUACUGGUCUCACUGAUUCCUCCUUCCUUAUGAACCGUAAUGCCAUUAAUUUGGUGUUGCGGGGAAUUUGGACUGUUACUUUGAAAAAAUUAGAGUGUUUAAAGCAAGCUAACGCUUGAAUACAUUAGCAUGGAAUAAUGAAAUAGGACGUUCGAUCUUAUUUUGUUGGUUUCUAGGAUUGACGUAAUGAUUAAUAGGGAUAGUUGGGGGCAUUAGUAUUCAAUUGUCAGAGGUGAAAUUCUUGGAUUUAUUGAAGACUAACUACUGCGAAAGCAUUUGCCAAGGAUGUUUUCAUUAAUCAAGAACGAAAGUUAGGGGAUCGAAGACGAUCAGAUACCGUCGUAGUCUUAACCAUAAACUAUGCCGACUAGGGAUCGG